AGUGAACGCUGGCGGUAGGCCUAACACAUGCAAGUCGAACGGCAGCACAGUAAGAGCUUGCUCUUACGGGUGGCGAGUGGCGGACGGGUGAGGAAUACAUCGGAAUCUACUUUUUCGUGGGGGAUAACGUAGGGAAACUUACGCUAAUACCGCAUACGACCUACGGGUGAAAGCAGGGGAUCUUCGGACCUUGCGCGAUUGAAUGAGCCGAUGUCGGAUUAGCUAGUUGGCGGGGUAAAGGCCCACCAAGGCGACGAUCCGUAGCUGGUCUGAGAGGAUGAUCAGCCACACUGGAACUGAGACACGGUCCAGACUCCUACGGGAGGCAGCAGGGGGGAAUAUUGGACAAUGGGCGCAAGCCUGAUCCAGCCAUACCGCGUGGGUGAAGAAGGCCUUCGGGUUGUAAAGCCCUUUUGUUGGGAAAGAAAAGCAGCAGGUUAAUACCCCGCUGUUCUGACGGUACCCAAAGAAGAAGCACCGGCUAACUUC
Molecule: ribosomal RNA, 489 nt
Filed under: uncultured bacterium
Lineage: Bacteria
Description: partial 16S ribosomal RNA
Rfam family: Bacterial small subunit ribosomal RNA
Source: RNAcentral